RNAcentral lists this long non-coding RNA (3764 nucleotides) under Nicotiana tabacum (common tobacco). Its description in RNAcentral is "long non-coding RNA (NTAB_LNC008282)". The record is from RNAcentral. Lineage: Eukaryota; Viridiplantae; Streptophyta; Magnoliopsida; Solanales; Solanaceae.
CUGACAGUUUGGGUCUUGAUAGAAGUAUGAAGGAUCAUUGUUUCUAGCGUCAUUGAAUUGGUCCUUUUUUAUUCCAUUGGCAGUAAUAUUCCCUCCAAGUGUGCUGGUUCUUCCCUACAUGAAAAAAGCAAGUAAUAUCACCAACUAUUUCUUUCCACAUUCCAUGGUGAGUAGAUCAGUACAGAAGUAUUUCCAGUGGAAUACCAAAAUGAGCAGGAAUGAGAAACAAAGACGAAUAUCCAGCAAUCGAAUAGAGAGAAGGAGCUGACAAAUAGGUUGGUCUUAACUUUGGUAGACAUCAGACUACUGUAUUCUUUUUUCUUUUCUUUUCUUUUUGUCAAAUGAAAGAGAAAUAUUGACAAGGAUAUAGAAGAUAAAGAAUGGAGGACAAUGUUCAAAAUCAAAUAAAGAUCAGCAGGGAAACAUAAAGAAAAUAGGACGCUCCUAACGGAUAACUACAAAGACCCUAAUCUCCUUAUUCCCCAUAAAGCGCCACAAUUUUUUUACUCCCUCCGCUUCAAUUUAUAAGACACACUUUCCUUAUUAGUCCGUUCCAAAAAGAAUGACAUAUUUCUAUUUUUGGAAACAAUUUAACUUUAAACUUUUCAUUUUACCCGUAAUGAGAAGCUUCUAUAGCUACACAAAUGUCAUGGUCCCACAAAGCUUUUGCCCCUUAAGUUUUUAGGACCACAUGUUUCAAAAGUCUUCUUUUUUUCUUAAACUUUGUGCCUAGUCAAACUACAUCCUCUAAAUUGAAACGGAGGGAGUAUUAGAAAGUAGGACAACUUGUUCCCAAUGAUGAUCCUGAACGUAGUUGCUAUUUAAAUGCACAAAAUAUUCAACCAGAGUAACCAUCAGUUUAUAACUUGAAAGAAACACGUAAGCUACAUAUUUUGCAUGAUUAGCUAUCUAACCACAUAUCGCCAUGCUGGAUACCGUGGAGGGAGACAGAUAAUCCCAAUCCUUUGAGUUAGCUUCACAAGGUACUUGCGAAGUAAAGGACUCCGAGAUGCAGUGUUGGACUUUAGCAGCGCUGAUGCGUCAUUCCAAACACCAGGAACCACACUGAGCAGCAGUUUAGGGCUUCCAUUCUGCACUUAGAGGAAAAAAUACAGUGCUUAAAAAUACUCAUAUUGAACAAGACUGCAAGAUUACCAAAUAAAACAGGUUACAUAACAUAUUGAACAAUAGUACCACUCCAUAGUGAGUACAGCCAAAAUGAGCUGUCUACAUCAUUAAAGAUGUUAGACUGCAUCUGAUGAUUGAUCUGUCUUUUCUAUUCAACAACAGGUCUCUAAUCAUGACACCAGAAGAUAUAUCCGAAAGUUAUUUAAACUUAAACCUGGCAUUUACUUGAUAAAAUCCAAAUUGAAUGUUCCAACCCUGUCCAUUUCUUUAAAAAACUGACUGUCAAUACACUCUCUGUCUCAGAAAAUUCUCAAAAGAAAUUGCUCCUGGAAGAGCACCUAUAAGGAUUUCAUGGUCUGAAGGGCAAGGCAUGAAAGAUGAAUGCAGUUUAUUCGAAUUUGAGUAUCAGAGGAAUGUAUACGUUCUAAAGUAGGAACGAAUACUUGCAAAUUUCUAGCAAUCAUACAUAAAGUAAGAAAGUACUCCAAAAGAGGACACAAAGAAAAAAAGGUGAACCUUGAAAAUAGCAGAUAGUGCUUCAACUGCACCCAAUAACUGGAAAUGAUUGACAACCUCAUUUGAAAGACAUGUCAUAACUUCAUGUGUCCAAUCCACAAAGCUGAAAACAAAAUUGCAGGAAACCAAAUAUGAAUAUGGCUAAAGAACUUUGAAACACUUAAAUAAUUCCCUAAGGAGGUCAUCAAGGGCUUUGGUUGAAUGGUAAGAAUGUAGCAUGGAAUGUGUGGAUUGGGCGCACAUCUUAAGUUGAACCCUGACACUGACACGAAGGCUGAUAUUUAAGGGGGAUCAGGACAGAGGGGCAGGCUCAUCCUUCCCCGAGUUUCAGACCUUCGGGCCAGCUAUGAGCUAACUCACAUGGGAACUCUCGGUUAUAAAGAAAAUUCCCUAAGGAGCACAAAAAUAUCAACAUCCUUACUUUUCUCAGAUCUUCAAUCUUAAAAGAUUUUUAUUCUUGUGCUGUUCAAAGAAAUAAUAUUCAUGUUCAAUACAGAGAAAAAUAAAACAGAAUGCUUAGCAGGCAUCUAUGACAAUUUGCAUCCUUAAGGACAUGCAUUUCAUUUGCUGAUCAGGCAUAGCAGUGAAUUGGAUGUGUCACAUAACAAGCAAAGUGAAAUGCAGUAAAUGCCACUCUAGCACGUAUCUCUUCAUUCACAUUAACCAACAUCACUGUGGAUGCAUGAGAAUGACCAGAGCAUUCAUCUACUUUUAUGUUUACUUUUUUCCUUUGUUUGUGUGUGGGUUGUUGGGGGGGGUAAUUUAAUCAACUUGGCUGUAAGAUUUCAAAUCAUCGUGUUAUAAAUGGAAAAGAUUUGGCAGUUGGACCUGGUAAAAGCCUUUGUCAUAUCAGGACGUGUUAGAAGCCUUGAAAGCAGCAAGCCAGCUAUGGUUCGCAUAGGACCUGCACUUGAAAGGAAGUCCUUAGAGAAUUCUAAGAUUCUUAGUACAAGUGGAGGUGGCUCAUCACUUCCAGUGUAGUUAUUAUCUGCAACACUAGUAUCCACAGAAGAUAUAUCAAACGGGAUCAAUACAAGAAUGUAAAGCCAUAAUAGCAUCACGCAUUUAGCCUCCAUCUCUCCAGUACUUUCUUGUCUUAAUGAUGUUACAGCUUGUGUAUUAUGGCAUUUCUCCAGGAGAGAUACUGCAAGCUCCAGGUCAGAGACCUGAUGAGGGAAGAACUUGACAACAGCCUUGUAGCCACAAACCGUCACCAAAGAAUAGAUUAUGAUGCAUAUAGGCUUGAUUACUUCAAGAAUUUCUUCCGAGGCAGCACCCAGUUUGACAGCUUUUGAACGGACAAUGGACAUGAGAGGGGAAACCAUACUCUCGAGGUAAGGCUCAAGUAAUUGACCUUGCUCCUGAUAUUUGUCCAUCUGCAAAUCAUAUAUGUUUAAUAGUCGAACAAAGAAUUACAGCUUGUUUGGAUGGUUGUUACCUAUUGUAUUGUAUCGUAUUGUUACUUCAAAUACAAUGUUUGUUUUGAUUGUUGCUUAAAUUUUAUUGUAUCAUUUGUUGUUAGUAAUAUUGCAAGUUUAUUUUUCAUAUUGUUGGUGUGUGAUAUCAUGAAAUGACGGCAAACGAUACAAUCUAUCCAAACAUUAUAUUCAACAAACAAUACAAUACAAUACAGUACAAUAUAGUACAAUACAAUACGAUGCAUUAUGAAAUGACAUGUAACAAUAAUCCAAACAAGCUGUUAAAGUAUUACCCAAAGAAAAAAAAGAUGGAGUAACUAUUAUAAAAAUUCCACUAGUUAUAAGCAAUUGCUGUUUUGAAAGCGAAACUCAAGUACACUAUUAAGGUUUUUGGGCUUGGCCUCAUCAGAAUUUACUCACCGAAGUUAUAUUUUAAUGGUAUAUCCAAUUACAGAUAUAGCAUUGAACUAAUAGUUAUGCAGUUUAAACAGAGGAAAGAAAUGAUAGAGAGAUAGAGAGAGAGUACGAUAGAUCGGAUCUUAUGCACAGAAGAGAUAUCGGAGACACGGCCAUUGGAAAUAAUAUCGUCGAGGAGUGAUUUGACAAGCUUCCAUUCCUGAAGGAAAUAUCUCUGCACAACGCUCUCUUUAGAAUCGUGUUCAUCGUCUAAUUCAACUUCGCUUACUGCCUCCAUUUUCAANN